CAAGACCUCGCGCUAUUGGAUGAGCCAAAGUCGGAUUAGCUAGUUGGUGGGGUAAUGGCCUACCAAGGCGACAAUCCGUAGCUGGUCUGAGAGGACGACCAGCCACACCGGAACUGAGACACGGUCCGGACUCCUACGGGAGGCAGCAGUGGGGAAUAUUGGAUAAUGGGGGAAACCCUGAUCCAGCGACGCCGCGUGUGUGAAGAAGGCCUGCGGGUUGUAAAGCACUUUUAGUGGGGACAAAAAGCCAUUGAUUAAUACUUGGUGGUCUUGAUUUAACCCAAAGAAAAAGCACCGGCUAACUCUGUGCCAGCAGCCGCGGUAAUACAGAGGGUGCGAGCGUUAAUCGGAAUUACUGGGCGUAAAGCGCGCGUAGACGGUUUUGUAAGUCAGAUGUGAAAUCCCCGGGCUCAACCUGGGAACU
This 424-nucleotide ribosomal RNA is filed under the name uncultured bacterium. RNAcentral's name for it is "bacterial SSU rRNA". It matches the Rfam family "Bacterial small subunit ribosomal RNA", at positions 202 to 622 of the family's 1533-position model. The record is from RNAcentral.